CACUGCUCUGCAGGCCUUCCCCAGAUGCUCACGCAGUCCCUGGGGGCUCUUCUGCAGAGAAUAAUGUCAAACAAAUUUUCUGAUUGCCGGGCAUUGUUUCUGUUGGAAGAUGAUGGAUUCCUCUGAGUGCCUGAUAUCUAUAGAGUGGACUGAAAAUCUUGGAGAGGAUUAGCAAACCGGGGAGUUAGUUAACACCAUUUAACCUUGCGACAACACCUCACAUCUGG
RNAcentral lists this long non-coding RNA (227 nucleotides) under Struthio camelus australis. RNAcentral's name for it is "lncRNA (ENSSCUG00000002708.1)". The record is from RNAcentral. Lineage: Eukaryota; Metazoa; Chordata; Aves; Struthioniformes; Struthionidae.